Non-coding RNA from Durio zibethinus, 1687 nucleotides. The record is from RefSeq and is a predicted model, not a curated record. NCBI's taxonomy places the organism in Eukaryota, Viridiplantae, Streptophyta, Magnoliopsida, Malvales, Malvaceae.
GGAUUAGUAAGGGGUUUGAUUGAGAGGGUUUUCUUUUAUUAUUUAUUUAUUUAGAACUUAUUUAUCAUGUAUGACAUGUUAGGGUUGGUUUUAAAUACGGGCAGUAUAUCUUCAUAAACUUGAUAUGAAUACUUCUGAAUUAAUAACAUGUUAGGGUUGGUUUUAUAUAGAGGCACUAGAACUGUGAUAGAAGUAUUUGAACAUGCCAGUCUUCCUUUAUGUCCCUGUAUGCUAUUUGCAAUACAAAAUGUCUAAAGGCUUUUCCUUAAUAUUUGUAGUUAAUUUAUUCGUUCAGAUAAUAGUUGGGUUCUUUGAAGAGAAUUAAAUUUCUAAGCUCAAGGAAGUCCUAUUAUUGAUUCUUUGUUCUUUUCUAAGCAGUUUGAAGAGAAAUGUAUCUCUGUUACUGCUAUAAGUUCUUUACAACCUUAGCAUUUGUUAUACCGUCAAAUGUUGUUAUUAGUAAUACGUAUUUCAAUUCAUCUAAAUGUCCGAUAUCUUUGAAUUUCUCUUUUCACAUGUUUCCAUCCUAAAUUUUGUAUUGGAAUUUUAUUUUGACUGGUCUAAACCAGUGAAAGGUUUUAUUGUGUUCUUCAGAUGUUAUAGUGGAUCCUCUUCUUUCCUUUAGGAAGGAGCUUAAAGAGAAGCAUUAUAUUAAAGUUUCAGUUAAAUGACAUCGUCAUAAAAGCAGUGGCAAUUGCUUUGAAAAAUGUACCUGAAGCUAAUGGUAAGACAUAAUUUCAAUAAAACUGGUCCUUGUAGAUUUCUGAGUAAACAUGGUAUGGGAGCUGAGCCAACACAAUUGGCUAAUGAGCUUGACCAAUUGUAAAAUGUAGUAAACAUUGCUAGAAAUGUGGGGUGAUAUUUAUCUCUUGGACUAGAUUCCACUCUGUUAUGCUGCUGUAAAAGAUUGGGAAUGACAUACAUUUUUAAACUGAUGCAAGCACAAAAAUGCUUUUAUUAGUGAUUUUUGCAUCUCUAGCAAAACUACGAUGGGAAGAAAAUAUUUUGAGUUUUUGAUUCUUUUCUACCUUUAUUUAUUUCUUUUGUGUUGAUUCAUUGGCUGGAUUCUUAGUGGGGGUAACCCUUUCCCAGUCCUUUACCAACCCUACUUGCUUUUUCAUAUGCUCAAACCAGAACUUCAACCUUCCUUAAUGAAGGAAAUGUCAUAAGAUUGUGUGGUCAUUUUAUUUCUUAUACCUCAGUAGUUCAACAAUUAAUUUGUAGUUGCUGAUCUAUAAAUGGUUUUCAGCUUAAUCUGAAAAGAGAGUUCUGGAGAAUAUUAAUGUUGUAUAAAAUAUUUAUUCACUUUGAUAGAAUCUGAAGCUGAGUAUUUACAUUAUUACCAGGUGGGUCUAUGAGCCUCCUCUAACAUCCAAACAGGAAAAGACUUAUCUUGUUUUGUGUUGAUAAUAUAUGGUUGCAUCGAAGAAGUUUCAAGCAGGAAGAGCACUUACUGUUAAUUUGUCAUACAUUUGUGUCGAGUGUACACACUGUGUAUAAGAAAUUUCCAGCAUCAGCUUAUCACUUAUUGGGAUGUUGAGAAAGGGGAAAUAAUUGUGUGAUUCUGUUGACAUAUCAAUUGCAGUUGCUACUGAGAAGGGUUUAAUGAUUCCAAUUGUAAGAAAUGCAGAUCAGAAAUCCAUUUCAUCAAUCUCCUCAGAGGUACCUUCAUCUUUGACCUCUACCC